Molecule: ribosomal RNA, 400 nt
Filed under: uncultured bacterium
Lineage: Bacteria
Description: bacterial SSU rRNA
Rfam family: Bacterial small subunit ribosomal RNA
Source: RNAcentral
UUAGGAAUCUUCCACAAUGGGCGAAAGCCUGAUGGAGCGACGCCGCGUGAGGGAUGAAGGCCUUAGGGUUGUAAACCUCUAAAAGAGGGACGAUAAUGACGGUACCUCUUGAAUAGCACCGGCUAACUCCGUGCCAGCAGCCGCGGUAAUACGGAGGGUGCAAGCUUUAUCCGGAUUUACUGGGUGUAAAAGGCGCGCAGGCGGGAUAAAAAGUCAGUGGUGAAAUCCUACAGCUUAACUGUAGAACUGCCUUUGAUACUUUUAUUCUUGACUUCGGGAGAGAGAGACGGAAUUCCAGGUGUAGUGGUGAAAUACGUAGAUAUCUGGAAGAACACCAGUUGCGAAGGCGGUCUCUUGGUCCGACACUGACGCUGAGGCGCGAAAGCGUGGGGAGCAAACA